UUUUGAAGUUGCAUGGGUUGGUUUUUUGCUUUGUUAUUUGUGGAAAAAAUGAAAAUAAUUUAGGGUGCUUUUGGACUGCUUACGUAGGAAACACUUCUACUCAUAACCUCUUUCGUUAGGAGUGUUUUUCUUAGAACCACGUCGAAAUUUUUAUUAAACAAGAAAGUGCUUUCUCCAAGUAGUUUAAUUUCUUCUACCAAACCUGCUCAAAGGCGCGUUUCGCGAUCCCACAAUCCUCUCAAAUGUGUAGACCUUUUGUUUUGCUGGCAAAGUAGGGUUUAUUUUCCUGGAAAAUAAACAGAAAUGUCCCUUGCAGAGGAAGACUUGAAAAUGGCUUCAUUUGUUGAUGACAUAAAUUCAUAUUCUUAUCUAUACCCUACGGAGUUGCCAUCCAAGAAGGCCCUCUUCAAGUGGAACCUGACUCUUUUCAUCUGUUUCAAGGGUGGAAUCGAGAAAGCCAGAGCGUUAUUCAUCAGCUGCACCAUUAUCUCGUAAGUUCAGCUUCAUAUGUAGAAUGAUGAUCACCAUAUAUCUGUAUCCGUGUUAUGGUAAUGGCCAUGGACGUCGAACAUAUUCAUACUCACUGGGCACUGUGUUAUAUAUUAUGCAGCUGAUGCGCGCCUGCGCAUUGUUUCUGAGCGUGUUGACAUUGUUGAUAAUCUCAUCAUUUCUAUUUCGGUAACUCCUGAUAAGAUCACUACUCGUUAAAUGCAAAUUCCCUUAGUUACAUUGCAAGGUUUAUAAUUGAAUUUCCUUUGAUUCAGAUAGGUCCCCCGAAUUCAAAGAUUAUAAAAUCACAAGACAAGAGUACAUGGACUGCAAAAGAGGUUGCUGAUUCUGUUUUGGCUGACAAGUCUGCAUUGGUAAUGUACCACUCGGAUCUGAUCUAAAAGCAUUUGGUUCUAAGGCUGAUUAGUAAAAAUUAGUGUUGCCGAUUUACCUUCAAUUGUUUUGAGUAGAGUAGUGUGUAAAAAAGGGUAUUGUGGUUGGACGAGAUGGAGCAGUCAAAUGUACAUAACCGACAUUUGGGAGAAUAUUGUCCCAUAAUAUUGAGUCUCGGAAGUUGUUGAGUUGAUGGUCCUUUGAACUUACAUGCUACAGUUUUCUGCAGCGUGUCACCUCAACUCAGCGUCAGGCUGAGAGUCAAGUUCUGGAUGCACACACUGGUGAAAUUGAUGGUCAGCCAUACUGGUACUAUGAGUACCUUGUUCGCAAAGCACCCACAAAAACUGCUGACGAAUCUACCAAUUAUAGACACUAUGUGGCCUCAACAACCGAACGAGAUGGUAGGAAAAAUGUUUCUAGUGCAAAACGUAUGAUUUUCAUGUCAUUCUCUUUUCUCAUCCUCCAGCGGACCACGGAUUAUGCAUUCUUAAGGGGGAGGCCGGAGGCGAUGCCAUUUGGCUAAAAAAGUAGAUAAUAAUACAAUUUAAAACCUCUCAUUGAAUCGUGCGAAAACUCGAUUGCAGGUUACCUGUACUCUAUUAAUGCUUCAACCCUCAAUAAGCAGUGGAACAUAGUGGGGCCUAUCUUACAAAAAACAGUAGCUUCAUUUCACCUUCUCCCUCCCACAGAAAACUACGUUCCUCCAUUCAAGGAUCUGUGGAGAUUCUGGUGAC
Pyrus x bretschneideri (Chinese white pear) is the source of this 1619-nucleotide RNA transcript. It is a transcript of the gene named psbP domain-containing protein 5, chloroplastic-like, with no coding region annotated. NCBI's taxonomy places the organism in Eukaryota, Viridiplantae, Streptophyta, Magnoliopsida, Rosales, Rosaceae. The record is from RefSeq and is a predicted model, not a curated record. The transcript has 6 exons.